This 253-nucleotide ribosomal RNA is filed under the name uncultured bacterium. Its description in RNAcentral is "partial 16S ribosomal RNA". It matches the Rfam family "Bacterial small subunit ribosomal RNA", at positions 524 to 776 of the family's 1533-position model. The record is from RNAcentral.
UACAGAGGUCCCAAGCGUUGUUCGGAUUCAUUGGGCGUAAAGGGUGCGUAGGCGGCGCGGUAAGUCGGGUGUGAAAUCUCGGGGCUUAACUCCGAAACUGCAUUCGAUACUGCCGUGCUUGAGGACUGGAGAGGAGACUGGAAUUUACGGUGUAGCGGUGAAAUGCGUAGAUAUCAGGAGGAACACCUGCGGUGUAGACAGCUUACUGGACCACUUCUGACGCUGAGACACGAAAGCGUGGGUAGCAAACAGG